This is a long non-coding RNA of Gasterosteus aculeatus aculeatus (three-spined stickleback), 1733 nucleotides long. NCBI's taxonomy places the organism in Eukaryota, Metazoa, Chordata, Actinopteri, Perciformes, Gasterosteidae. The record is from Ensembl.
UUUUGAUUUUUUUUUUUUUUUGAAAGGUUCCAGACAGCAUCGACAUUUUAGCGAGCUAAAAAUAUCACAACUUCUAAGGAGAGCUCACUGGGCUCCGAGCAGGUUUUCAGCUGUCGCCUAGCAACAGAAGCAGCCACCGACGGCGCGUUCCCCCGACCGCCCCGAGCACCUCUGGUUCUGCAGCCCGUGGUGUGCACAAACAGAAAGAGCGUGCUAUAUCAGUGGUACUUUGAGCAAGGCAUCGGGAUCGGUUUCUGUUAAGGGGAAAAUAUUCUCAUUAUAACAAGCUCAUUUGAUGUUAUAGAGUAAGAUACUUUUCUUUAUUAACAAAAAAUGUCAGAUCAAGAAACUUUUUAAUAUCAGUUUUUUUUUACUAAUUUCUCAUUUGUUUGUGUUUAAAUGACUGGAAAAAAAUUAAUAGAAUAUUAUUAUUUUUUUUUUAAAAGAGUAUUUUGGGUUAAUUAAAAAAUCAGCUGUGGUUUGCGUAUUUAAAGUUCUUCAAUUAAAAAGAGUAGAGCGGAUUAACAUCUUCUCAGUGUCCAGUUCAACCUGUUUAGAACUAAAUCUAAUCCUGAGUUUAUUUUAAAACCGUGCUGUUGCUUGUAGUCACAAAUGUGCCUUUACAAGAUCUUUCUUCUGUAGAGUCAGAGGCUUCCAUGUGCUCAAAGCACCCUCAAAAUACCUCAGUGAAGCAUCAAACGAAGCAGCCUGUGAUCUCUCCUCUUUGGUCUCAACAUUCAGGGUGCGUUCAUUUCAUCAUGUGUGCGUCGACCUUGAGGAUGGAAAAGCACAUAUACGAUAAAGCGCCUAUUAAGGUGUAAGCCGUUCGCUUUGAAUGUUUGAAACAUUGAUGUCUUGGAGGCUUGGAGACACUGAGCUGAGCUAACCUCUUCCACGGCCGCCAUAACACACACGCACACGCACACGCACACACACACACACACACACACUUCCUCUCAACAUCCACAAGUAAUACGUUCAGACAUAAGCCUUGAAAAAAAUAAGAAAAAGAAAACCCCAAAACAAACAAUACCGUGUUGAACUCGAGUUCAGGCGAAGUAUUACAGCUCACAUAGAAGAAGCAAAUUACAAAAACUGCCAAUAUCAUAUCCACUAUAUAGCCACAAUAAAAAAACAGCCACUGAUAAUAUGGGAAAAAACAUGCUUCCUUAAAAAGAUAAAGAGAAAAACAAAAAAAAAAGGAUUUCAUUCAACUCUAGGAACCACCGGCAUCAAGAAGUUAGAAUUAUAUAACAUUACAUAUACAAUUGCAAAUGUGUAAUAAUAAUAAUAAUAAUAAUAUUAAUAGAGUAAUGAUAAUAGAUUUGACUUAAAACUUUACAUGUUGUAUUUCCAGUGCAGUGUUUAUGUCACACAAGUGUGGAUUGACGGUGGGGGGACGGGAGGGUCGGUGUCACAUGACCUGCGGGGGGAAGAGAUGAAGAGACCACGAGAAGAAGGAACCACACCGGGACGCCGGGCGCAACCACGACCCCUAAAGACCCCCUCGCCGGUCAACGCGGUGGGCCGCAGGGAAGAAGAGGAAGGACGACGAAGCCGCUGAGGGCGUGACAGACGGUGGCGGUAGAAGAAGUGAUGCAUGCUGGGGGUUGAGCCGAGUGUCCCGUGUGGGAGGGUCUGUUGAUGGAGGGGGGGGUCUGUGCCCGAACCAUCCCUUCCUCCUCCUCUCCCCUCCUCCUCCUCCUGCCCUCACCCCCCUGGCAGAAGAAGCU